GCUCGCAGCCCUGUACGUAAGCCGAUUCCAGGUCCACGCAGUGCGCCCGGCUCUCCCUGCAGAAGGCGGCGGGUGAGGCCCGCUCCAGCGGCCCCCAGCCCCCUCCCCUCGCGUCCCCUCUACGCACCUCUGCAUGUCGCGGAAGCAGCGGAUGCACAACAGCAACUUCUUGUCGGUGGAGAACAAGAGGCACUUGGCGCUCUGAUAUACCCACUUUACAGAGGAGGGCACUGCGGCUCAGAGGCUGGGUCAUCGGCGCCUCAUUUCCUCGGCGGCCAAUUGGGGGCGCCAGAGAGCAGCGGACGCCCCUCCACCGACUUUCCAGCGCUUGGGAGGC
Molecule: long non-coding RNA, 337 nt
Organism: Pan troglodytes (chimpanzee)
Lineage: Eukaryota; Metazoa; Chordata; Mammalia; Primates; Hominidae
Exons: 3
Source: RefSeq, a predicted model, not a curated record